RNAcentral lists this ribosomal RNA (301 nucleotides) under uncultured bacterium. Its description in RNAcentral is "partial 16S ribosomal RNA". It matches the Rfam family "Bacterial small subunit ribosomal RNA", at positions 509 to 809 of the family's 1533-position model. The record is from RNAcentral.
CAGUCGCCGCGGUAACACGGAGGGUGCAAGCGUUAAUCGGAAUUACUGGGCGUAAAGCGUGCGCAGGCGGUUAUGCAAGACAGAUGUGAGAUCCUCGGGCUCAACCUGGGAACUGCAUUUGUGACUGCAUGACUAGAGUACGGCAGAGGGGGAUGGAAUUCCGCGUGUAGCAGUGAAAUGCGUAGAUAUGCGGAGGAACACCGAUGGCGAAGGCAAUCCCCUGGGCCUGUACUGACGCUCAUGCACGAAAGCGUGGGGAGCAAACAGGAUUAGAUACCCGCGUAGUCCCUGUCUCUUAUAA